Long non-coding RNA from Clupea harengus (Atlantic herring), 114 nucleotides. RefSeq lists it as uncharacterized. The transcript has 3 exons. NCBI's taxonomy places the organism in Eukaryota, Metazoa, Chordata, Actinopteri, Clupeiformes, Clupeidae. The record is from RefSeq and is a predicted model, not a curated record.
CAUCAUCCUGUUUUGUAUUUACAGGAUAAAGAAAAAGAAGAGAAAAUCUGAAUCCCAGGAAUCAAGGCCAUCAAACGAAUCAAGAGAAGGACAGGAGUUUGAAAUGUCACAACA